Molecule: long non-coding RNA, 264 nt
Filed under: Elaeis guineensis (African oil palm)
Lineage: Eukaryota; Viridiplantae; Streptophyta; Magnoliopsida; Arecales; Arecaceae
Description: long non-coding RNA (EGUI_LNC004648)
Source: RNAcentral
UGACAGCCAUCGCGUGAUCGUGUCGAGCACCGCCACUUCCUUUAGAAACCCUAACAUACCUAUGGCGUGGGACUUCAGGUGAGAGGAUCGUCGAUUUCUGCCACCAGCCGCUGUCACCACCGUCGUCUCUAGUAAGAUCCCCUUUUUUCUCUUUUCUUCCGGUCUAUGGGUUGCUGCCAUGAUUUAAAGGGCAGUGCCCUUUUUCUCUCUUUUCUUCUUGGAUAUCCAAUCGCCGUCGAUCGGAUAUUCCCCUGGACAUCGUUG